AUUGAACGCUGGCGGCAGGCUUAACACAUGCAAGUCGAGCGGGGUGAUGGUGCUUGCACUAUCACUUAGCGGCGGACGGGUGAGUAAUGCUUAGAAAUCUGCCUAUUAGUGGGGGACAACAUCUCGAAAGGGAUGCUAAUACCGCAUACGUCCUACGGGAGAAAGCAGGGGAUCACUUGUGACCUUGCGCUAAUAGAUGAGACUAAGUCGGAUUAGCUAGUUGGUGGGGUAAAGGCCUACCAAGGCGACGAUCUGUAGCGGGUCUGAGAGGAUGAUCCGCCACACUGGGACUGAGACACGGCCCAGACUCCUACGGGAGGCAGCAGUGGGGAAUAUUGGACAAUGGGGGGAACCCUGAUCCAGCCAUGCCGCGUGUGUGAAGAAGGCCUUAUGGUUGUAAAGCACUUUAAGCGAGGAGGAGGCUCUUUUGGUUAAUACCCAAGAUGAGUGGACGUUACUCGCAGAAUAAGCACCGGCUAACUCUGUGCCAGCCGCCGCGGUAA
RNAcentral lists this ribosomal RNA (503 nucleotides) under uncultured bacterium. Its description in RNAcentral is "partial 16S ribosomal RNA". It matches the Rfam family "Bacterial small subunit ribosomal RNA", at positions 30 to 523 of the family's 1533-position model. The record is from RNAcentral.